RNAcentral lists this ribosomal RNA (509 nucleotides) under Paraphrynus cubensis. Its description in RNAcentral is "partial large subunit ribosomal RNA". It matches the Rfam family "Bacterial large subunit ribosomal RNA", at positions 1825 to 2600 of the family's 2925-position model. Lineage: Eukaryota; Metazoa; Arthropoda; Arachnida; Amblypygi; Phrynidae. The record is from RNAcentral.
GGUUUUUCGUUAGAUGAUGAAAAAUCUGGCCUGCCCAAUGAAUGAGGUGAAUGGCCGCGGUAAUUUGACCGUGCUAAGGUAGCAUAAUAAUUAGUCUUUUAAUUUAGGACUGGAAUGAAAGGUUAGACGAGGGAAAUUCUGUUUCUAAGGAAAAUUGUUGAAGUUGGUGUUGUUGUGAGGAGGCAACAUUUGGAGCUAAGGGACGAGAAGACCCUAUUAAGUUUGAUAAAAUGGAUUGAUGAUUUUUUUAUUUGUGGAGAUUUGUUGAUUGGAUUUUGUUUUGCUGGGGCGGUAUUGAUUAGAAUGAAUCUUUUGAUGAUUGUAGGGGUAUAAUACAUUGGAGCCAAAAAUAGGUUUGAUAUUUGGAUAAAAUUACUAUAGGGAUAACAGCGUAAUAUUGUUGGAGAGUUCAUAUUGAUGACAAAUUUUGCGACCUCGAUGUUGAAUUAAGAUACCUUUUUGGUGAAGAGGCUAAAUAAGGUGGUCUGUUCGACCAGUAAAUUCUUACA